RNAcentral lists this ribosomal RNA (3303 nucleotides) under Oocystaceae sp. NIES-4287. RNAcentral describes it as "bacterial SSU rRNA". The stretch from base 17 to 2383 matches the Rfam family "Eukaryotic small subunit ribosomal RNA", at positions 4 to 1116 of the family's 1831-position model. Lineage: Eukaryota; Viridiplantae; Chlorophyta; Trebouxiophyceae; Chlorellales; Oocystaceae. The record is from RNAcentral.
UCCAGUAGGGCCCUCCCCGGCCUCAGCACCGGAACAGCGCUCAAAGAUUAAGCCAUGCAUGUCUAAGUAUAAGCUGCUUAUACUGUGAAACUGCGAAUGGCUCAUUAAAUCAGUUAUAGUUUAUUUGAUGGUACCUUACUACUCGGAUAACCGUAGAUUUAUUGCGGUUUAGAGGGGACUCCCCUAGUGAGAGGGGGGGCUUCAGGCCUCCUCGCUUGCGACACUGUCAAAUUGCUCGGACCUCCUGCUAUGCGUCGAGUACCGCCCUCCCCCCUAAAGGGGGGUGUGGCACCCAGCUGAAAGGCUGGGGUGUGGUGACAAUCUCCGACGAUAGGGACAAUGAGCAGCCAAGCCCUACAGGUGAAAGCAGAAAGUCUGUGUUUACAUGGAUGAAAAGCCUAUGGGUGCAGUUCACAGACUAAAUGGCGGUGGGUCUCUUGAAAGAAGGAGGCUUAAGACAUAGUCGGCCCCCAUCGAGAGGUGGACUCUAGGAGGAAUGGCAAAACACGCCUGGAGAGCCUAGAGUGGCACGGCAGAACCAUAUAGCACUUGGGGCAACCCAAGCGCCGGCCCCUUUUGUAGCCCAAGGCCGCUGCCUGCUGGAACGAGCGAGUAAAUCUAGAGCUAAUACGUGCGUAAAUCCCGACUUCUGGAAGGGACGUAUUUAUUAGAUAAAAGACCGACCGGCUUCGGCCGCCCCUCGGUGAAUCAUGAUAACUUCACGAAUCGCAUGGCCUUGUGCCGGCGAUGUUUCAUUCAAAUUUCUGCCCUAUCAACUUUCGAUGGUAGGAUAGAGGCCUACCAUGGUGGUAACGGGUGACGGAGAAUUAGGGUUCGAUUCCGGAGAGGGAGCCUGAGAAACGGCUACCACAUCCAAGGAAGGCAGCAGGCGCGCAAAUUACCCAAUCCCGACACGGGGAGGUAGUGACAAGAAAUAACAAUACCGGGCUCAUUCGAGUCUGGUAAUUGGAAUGAGAACAAUCUAAACCCCUUAUCGAGGAUCCAUUGGAGGGCAAGUCUGGUAAAACUGCUGUUGCCAGAGAUAGUAGGGCGCCUGUUGGCGUUAUGCCUGCUAGUCGAGCAGCCUGGUACAUUGAUCGGGCUGGCUGCCGGCAAGACGACCUGGUACGGGGAAAGCCUUCAACCCAUUUCUGUGGGAUUGGUUAAUCCCGUGGCGAGUCUGUGAAGAGCGAUCUUUACAAGACCGUCGUAACGCACGGUAAGGCGUCGGCCUGUCUCAGUUUUAUUAUUGAGUGGGCUUAAGGGACGUGCUAAACCCACCCGAUGAGAAAGGGUGUUUCAGACGCUAGCUCCCGAUCAGCGAAUGUCUGCGAGGACUGUAGUUCAGAGAGGAAAUGCUCUGAUCUGUCCGGUAGGUAGGCAAUCGCAUGAUUGUUUGCACUUGGCCAGCAGCCGCGGUAAUUCCAGCUCCAAUAGCGUAUAUUUAAGUUGCUGCAGUUAAAAAGCUCGUAGUCGGUUUUCGGGCGGGCUGCGCCGGUCUGCCUUUGGUAUGCACUGGCGUGACCCGCUUUUCUGCCGGGGACGUGCUGCUGGGCUUUACUGUCCGGCACACGGAGUCGGCGCUGUUACCUUGAAGUUACUUGAGGACAACAGCGGGCCUUAAAAGGGUGUCUCCCGCUAGUGGGGCUGCUUUGCUUGUUUGCACGCAGACUCGCAACACCGUCCAAUUGCUCGGAAAUCCUGUCAGGUCAGCAGUACCGCCUCUCGUCUGGAAACAGGCUCGAGGCACCGUGGGGAAACUCGCGGGUAUGGUAACAAUCUGCUGAAUAGGGACAAUGAGCAGCCAAGCCCUACGGGACGUUCGUAGUCCUAUGGGUGCAGUUCACAGACUAGAUGUCGGUGGGUCUCUCCUGGAGGCUUAAGAUAUAGUCGGCCCGCGCCGAGAGGCGAGCCCUUUGGAGGAACCUUGGUGAUUAAACCACCUUGGGGAGAGCUGAAGGGGGCUGGGAGUCAUAGUCGAAAACGACGGCCCGCUUUUCCCGAAGCGGGCCUCCCAGCUGGAUGUGCGGAGUAAAUUGGAGUGUUCAAAGCAGGCAUACGCUCUGAACAUAUUAGCAUGGAAUAACGAUAUAGGACUCUGGCCUAUUCGUUGGUCUGUGGGACUGGAGUAACGACCAAUGGGGGCAGUCGGGGGCAUUCGUAUUUCGUUGUCAGAGGUGAAAUUCUUGGAUUUACGAAAGACGAACUGCUGCGAAAGCGUUUGCCAAGGAUGCUUUCGUCGAUCAAGAACGAAAGUUGGGGGCUCGAAGACGAUUAGAUACCGUCCUAGUCUCAACCAUAAACGAUGCCGACUAGGGAUCGGCGGAUGUUCUUUUGAUGACUCCGCCGGCACCUCAUGAGAAAUCAAAGUGUUUGGGUUCCGGGGGGAGUAUGGUCGCAAGGCUGAAACUUAAAGGAAUUGACGGAAGGGCACCACCAGGCGUUAUACUGAUUAGUUUGCUCUAGCGCCAGCGGGCUUGAAAAGAGCGCCGCUAGUCUCUCAUGUUGGAGGCGACACCGUCAAAUUGCCGGGAACUCCUGUCACGCCAACGGUACCGCCCUUGGGUCGAAAGGCUCACAGGGCACCUCGGUGCAAGUCGAGGGUAUGGUAACAACCCAUUGGCUAGGGACAAUCGGCAGCCAAGCCCUACCGGUCCACGUGGCCUAUGGGUGCAGUUCACAGACUAGAUGGCGGUGGGUUCCAAGCUGCGUGCAGCUUGGGGCUUAAGAUAUAGUCGGGCCGCUCCGUGAGGAGAGCCUGUGGGAGGAACCGGCGAUGUGCCGGGGAGAGCCCAUAGGGAGUGAGGUAGUAGUCGGUGCAGCGAUGCCCCUUGACGGCCUUGAGCCUCUCACUCGGACCAACCGGGAGCCUGUGGCUUAAUUUGACUCAACACGGGAAAACUUACCAGGUCCAGACAUAGUGAGGAUUGACAGAUUGAGAGCUCUUUCUUGAUUCUAUGGGUUUGAAUACCACUUGCCCAUCAGAGCGGUGCGAAAGCACUUUGCUAGUCGCCCUCUGGCCGCUUUGGCGAGGCCAGGGGAAGGCGAGACCGUCGAAUUGCGGGGAAAUCCUUAGAGCCCAGACUACCAAGCUAGCGUGGAAACACGCCUAGUGGCCGAGCUAACAGCCCUGGAUAUGGUAAAAACGUCUGGGAUUGGACAACCCGCAGCCAAGCUCCUAAGGGCGUAUGUGUGUAUGCCUAUGGAGAAGGUUCAGAGACUAGGUGGCGGUCGGUCCCUCUCUUUCUGAAGGGGGCUUAAGAUAUAGUCCGGCUCUGUCGAGAGACAGCCUCAGGAGGAACG